UCACUGCUCUACUUUCUGUCGGUGUGGAACCGUUCAUCCAGGACUCAGACACUCACUCCUGCCCAUGAAUCAGCCACAUCCCGACCUGCCUGUCCCGAGAACAGUGACCAUCACCACACCUCCUGGCUACCUUCAUGCUUCAGCAACGGAGCCGAACAGUUGCAACAGAGACCAUCUGCACCACAGAGCCUACAGGCCUUUCACGGCAGUGCCUGUUCCUCGUUCCAGUCCAUGGCGGUUCCAGUGUGAGUCAAGAGUUGUGACAUGUGCAUUCAAAGAGCCACCUUAACACCAGCACACAUGGGGCCGAUCCUUUGUGAAUGAACCAGUGCAUGCAUGGAGAACCGGGAAAAGGAAAGGAUGCCUCACCUCGGCCUCCCUGGACCAGCUCCCACCAGAGUCUGCUGAGGACUGAAUUGAGAGGGCCUGGGCUCUGCCCUUCACCCGGAUCCCCAGACAUCUUGUUUACAUGUUGGAGUGCUGAAGAUCCCAGGCAGAGCCUCACACGUGGUAGGCAGGCUAGACCAACUGAGCUACAUUCCCAGGCCCGCCAACCAUUUCUGCAUAUGAAUUUCUCCGGAAGAUAAGGUAGUACUUGACAACAGUAAGGACUUCAGCCAGCGUGCA
Long non-coding RNA from Onychomys torridus (southern grasshopper mouse), 627 nucleotides. RefSeq lists it as uncharacterized. The transcript has 3 exons. NCBI's taxonomy places the organism in Eukaryota, Metazoa, Chordata, Mammalia, Rodentia, Cricetidae. The record is from RefSeq and is a predicted model, not a curated record.